CUACGGGUGGCAGCAGUGGGGAAUAUUGGACAAUGGGCGAAAGCCUGAUCCAGCCAUGCCGCGUGUGUGAAGAAGGCCUUCGGGUUGUAAAGCACUUUCAGUGGGGAAGAAAGCCUUGGGGCUAAUACCCUCGAGGAAGGACAUCACCCACAGAAGAAGCACCGGCUAACUCCGUGCCAGCAGCCGCGGUAAUACGGAGGGUGCGAGCGUUAAUCGGAAUUACUGGGCGUAAAGCGCGCGUAGGCGGUCUGAUAAGCCGGUUGUGAAAGCCCCGGGCUCAACCUGGGAACGGCAUCCGGAACUGUCAGGCUAGAGUGCAGGAGAGGAAGGUAGAAUUCCCGGUGUAGCGGUGAAAUGCGUAGAGAUCGGGAGGAAUACCAGUGGCGAAGGCGGCCUUCUGGACUGACACUGACGCUGAGGUGCGAAAGCGUGGGUAGCAAACAGGAUUAGAUACCCCUGAGU
Molecule: ribosomal RNA, 462 nt
Filed under: Vreelandella stevensii
Lineage: Bacteria; Pseudomonadati; Pseudomonadota; Gammaproteobacteria; Oceanospirillales; Halomonadaceae
Description: partial 16S ribosomal RNA
Rfam family: Bacterial small subunit ribosomal RNA
Source: RNAcentral